This 254-nucleotide ribosomal RNA is filed under the name uncultured bacterium. Its description in RNAcentral is "partial 16S ribosomal RNA". It matches the Rfam family "Bacterial small subunit ribosomal RNA", at positions 524 to 776 of the family's 1533-position model. The record is from RNAcentral.
UACGUAGGUGGCAAGCGUUGUCCGGAUUUAUUGGGUUUAAAGGGUGCGUAGGCGGUCCCAUAAGUCAGUGGUGAAAUACUCUAGCUCAACUAGAGGGGUGCCAUUGAUACUGCGGGACUUGAGUGAAGUCGAAGUAGGCGGAAUUGACGGUGUAGCGGUGAAAUGCUUAGAUAUCGUCAAGAACACCGAUAGUGAAGACAGCUUACUAGACUUAUACUGACGCUGAGGCACGAAAGUGUGGGGAGUCAAACAGG